GACGAACGCUGGCGGCGUGCUUAACACAUGCAAGUCGAACGGAAAGGCCCUGCUUUUUUGGUGUGCUCGAGUGGCGAACGGGUGAGUAACACGUGAGUAACCUGCCCUUGACUUUGGGAUAACUUCAGGAAACUGGGGCUAAUACCGUAUAGGAGCUCCUGCUGCAUGGUGGGGGUUGGAAAGUUUCGGCGGUUGGGGAUGGACUCGCGGCUUAUCAGCUUGUUGGUGGGGUAGUGGCUUACCAAGGCUUUGACGGGUAGCCGGCCUGAGAGGGUGACCGGGCACAUUGGGACUGAGAUACGGACCAGACUCCUACGGGAGGCAGCAGUGGGGAAUAUUGCACAAUGGGCGGAAGCCUGAUGAAGCAACGCCGCGUGCGGGAUGACGGCCUUCGGGUUGAGAACCGCUUUCGCUUGUGACGAAGCGUGAGUGACGGUAAUGGGUAAAGAAGCACCGGCUAACUACGUG
Molecule: ribosomal RNA, 468 nt
Filed under: uncultured bacterium
Lineage: Bacteria
Description: partial 16S ribosomal RNA
Rfam family: Bacterial small subunit ribosomal RNA
Source: RNAcentral